UAUUGGUCAAUGGCCGGAAGGCUGAACCAGCCAAGCCGCGUGAGGGAGGAAGGCGCAGAGCGUCGCAGACCUCUUUUGCCGGGGGACAAAAGGCCGGACGUGUCCGGUCCUGAGGGUACCCGGAGCAAAAGCAUCGGCUAACUCCGUCCCAGCAGCCGCGGUAAUACGGAGGAUGCGAGCGUUAUCCGGAUUUAUUGGGUUUAAAGGGUGCGUAGGCGGGCUGUUAAGUCAGCGGUCAAAUGUCGGGGCUCAACCCCGGCCUGCCGUUGAAACUGGCGGCCUCGAGUGGGCGAGAAGUAUGCGGAAUGCGUGGUGUAGCGGUGAAAUGCAUAGAUAUCACGCAGAACUCCGAUUGCGAAGGCAGCAUACCGGCGCCCUACUGACGCUGAGGCACGAAAGCGUGGGUAUCGAACAGG
RNAcentral lists this ribosomal RNA (416 nucleotides) under uncultured bacterium. RNAcentral's name for it is "bacterial SSU rRNA". It matches the Rfam family "Bacterial small subunit ribosomal RNA", at positions 362 to 776 of the family's 1533-position model. The record is from RNAcentral.